AUUGAACGCUGGCGGCAUGCCUUACACAUGCAAGUCGAACGGUAACGCGGGGCAACCUGGCGACGAGUGGCGAACGGGUGAGUAAUGUAUCGGAACGUGCCCAGUUGUGGGGGAUAACUGCUCGAAAGAGCAGCUAAUACCGCAUACGACCUGAGGGUGAAAGCGGGGGAUCGCAAGACCUCGCGCAAUUGGAGCGGCCGAUAGCAGAUUAGGUAGUUGGUGGGGUAAAGGCUCACCAAGCCGACGAUCUGUAGCUGGUCUGAGAGGACGACCAGCCACACGGGGAAUUAGACACGGCCCAGACUCCUACGGGAGGCAGCAGUGGGGAAUUUUGGGCAAUGGACGCAAGUCUGAUCCAGCCAUGCCGCGUGCGGGAAGAAGGCCUUCGGGUUGUAAACCGCUUUUGUCAGGGAAGAAACGCUCUGGGUUAAUACCUCGGGGUAAUGACGGUACCUGAAGAAUAAGCACCGGCUAACUACGUGCCAGCCGCCGCCGUAA
RNAcentral lists this ribosomal RNA (498 nucleotides) under uncultured bacterium. RNAcentral describes it as "partial 16S ribosomal RNA". It matches the Rfam family "Bacterial small subunit ribosomal RNA", at positions 29 to 523 of the family's 1533-position model. The record is from RNAcentral.